RNAcentral lists this ribosomal RNA (253 nucleotides) under uncultured bacterium. RNAcentral's name for it is "partial 16S ribosomal RNA". It matches the Rfam family "Bacterial small subunit ribosomal RNA", at positions 524 to 776 of the family's 1533-position model. The record is from RNAcentral.
UACGUAGGGGGCGAGCGUUAUCCGGAUUCACUGGGUGUAAAGGGAGCGUAGACGGCCAUGCAAGCCGGGGGUGAAAGCCCGGGGCCCAACCCCGGGACUGCCCUUGGAACUGCAUGGCUGGAGUGCGGGAGGGGCAGGCGGAAUUCCUGGUGUAGCGGUGAAAUGCGUAGAUAUCAGGAGGAACACCGGCGGCGAAGGCGGCCUGCUGGACCGCGACUGACGUUGAGGCUCGAAAGCGUGGGGAGCGAACAGG